UACGGGGGGAGCAAGCGUUGUUCGGAUUUACUGGGCGUAAAGGGCGCGUAGGCGGCCUGUGCAAGUCAGUUGUGAAAUCUCCGAGCUUAACUCGGAACGGUCAACUGAUACUGCUCGGCUAGAGUGCGGAAGGGGCAACUGGAAUUCUUGGUGUAGCGGUGAAAUGCGUAGAUAUCAAGAGGAACACCUGCGGCGAAGGCGGGUUGCUGGGCCGACACUGACGCUGAGGCGCGAAAGUGUGGGGAGCGAACAGG
Molecule: ribosomal RNA, 254 nt
Filed under: uncultured bacterium
Lineage: Bacteria
Description: partial 16S ribosomal RNA
Rfam family: Bacterial small subunit ribosomal RNA
Source: RNAcentral